Hibiscus syriacus is the source of this 107-nucleotide small nucleolar RNA. The record is from RefSeq and is a predicted model, not a curated record. NCBI's taxonomy places the organism in Eukaryota, Viridiplantae, Streptophyta, Magnoliopsida, Malvales, Malvaceae.
AACCCAUGAAUAGGACAUUUCCGCAACAAAACCUUCAAUCUUUCCCAUGCUUUAUACAAGCUUUCAUAUACCAUUUGCUUGAAUGAAGUUAAACCAUUUCGAAGUUU